RNAcentral lists this ribosomal RNA (341 nucleotides) under Chrysophyceae sp. Its description in RNAcentral is "SSU rRNA". It matches the Rfam family "Eukaryotic small subunit ribosomal RNA", at positions 1484 to 1827 of the family's 1831-position model. Lineage: Eukaryota; Chrysophyceae. The record is from RNAcentral.
GGGCCGCACGCGCGCUACACUGACACAAGCAGCGAGUUUUCCUUGUCCGAAAGGUCUGGGUAAUCUUGUAAAUCUGUGUCGUGAUAGGGAUAGAUUAUUGCAAUUAUUAAUCUUGAACGAGGAAUUCCUAGUAAAUGCGGAUCAUCAGUUCGCGUUGAUUACGUCCCUGCCCUUUGUACACACCGCCCGUCGCACCUACCGAUUGGAUGAUUCGGUGAAACUUUCGGACCGUGUGCAGGACGCUCUCGGGCGACUUGUGCGUGGGAAGUUAUUUAAACCUCAUCAUCUAGAGGAAGGUGAAGUCGUAACAAGGUUUCCGUAGGUGAACCUGCGGAAGGAUC